GGGCCGUUAGCUCAGACUGGUUAGAGUGCCUGCUUGACAUGCAGGAGGUCACUGGUUCAACUCCAGUACGGCCCA
RNAcentral lists this transfer RNA (75 nucleotides) under Fidelibacterota bacterium. Its description in RNAcentral is "tRNA-Val". It matches the Rfam family "tRNA". From Rfam's summary of the family: Transfer RNA (tRNA) molecules are approximately 80 nucleotides in length. Their secondary structure includes four short double-helical elements and three loops (D, anti-codon, and T loops). The record is from RNAcentral. Lineage: Bacteria; Pseudomonadati; Fidelibacterota.